RNAcentral lists this ribosomal RNA (441 nucleotides) under uncultured bacterium. RNAcentral describes it as "partial 16S ribosomal RNA". It matches the Rfam family "Bacterial small subunit ribosomal RNA", at positions 338 to 795 of the family's 1533-position model. The record is from RNAcentral.
CCUACGGGAGGCAGCAGUGGGGGAUAUUGCACAAUGGGGGGAACCCUGAUGCAGCGACGCCGCGUGGGUGAAGGAGUGCUUCGGCAUGUAAAGCCCUAUCGGCAGGGAAGAAGCAAGACGGUACCUGACUAAGAAGCGCCGGCUAACUACGUGCCAGCAGCCGCGGUAAUCCGUAGGGGGCGAGCGUUAUCCGGAUUCACUGGGUGUAAAGGGAGCGUAGACGGGCAUGCAAGCCAGGGGUGAAAGCCCGGGGCCCAACCCCGGGACUGCCGUUGAAACUGGAUGGCUGGAGUGGGAGAGGGGCAGGCGGAAUGCGUGGUGUAGCGGUGAAAUGCGUAGAUAUCAGGAGGAACACCGGCGGCGAAGGCGGCCUGCUGGACUGCGACUGACGUUGAGGCUCGAAAGCGUGGGGAGCGAACAGGAUUAGAUACCCGGGUAGUC